This 901-nucleotide ribosomal RNA is filed under the name Raphidiopsis mediterranea HLJ-1. RNAcentral describes it as "bacterial SSU rRNA". It matches the Rfam family "Bacterial small subunit ribosomal RNA", at positions 66 to 1008 of the family's 1533-position model. Lineage: Bacteria; Bacillati; Cyanobacteriota; Cyanophyceae; Nostocales; Aphanizomenonaceae. RNAcentral also lists the same sequence under 1 other name. The record is from RNAcentral.
ACGGGAUGCUUAGGCAUCUAGUGGCGGACGGGUGAGUAGCGCGUGAGAAUCUGGCUCCAGGUCGGGGAUAACAGUUGGAAACGACUGCUAAUACCGGAUGUGCCGAAAGGUGAAAGAUUUAUUGCCUGGAGAUGAGCUCGCGUCUGAUUAGCUAGUUGGUGGUGUAAGGGACCACCAAGGCAUCGAUCAGUAGCUGGUCUGAGAGGAUGAUCAGCCACACUGGGACUGAGACACGGCCCAGACUCCUACGGGAGGCAGCAGUGGGGAAUUUUCCGCAAUGGGCGAAAGCCUGACGGAGCAAUACCGCGUGAGGGAGGAAGGCUCUUGGGUCGUAAACCUCUUUUCUCAAGGAAGAAGAAAGUGACGGUACUUGAGGAAUAAGCAUCGGCUAACUCCGUGCCAGCAGCCGCGGUAAUACGGAGGAUGCAAGCGUUAUCCGGAAUGAUUGGGCGUAAAGGGUCUGCAGGUGGAACUGAAAGUCUGCUGUUAAAGAGUUUGGCUUAACCAAAUAAAAGCGGUGGAAACUACAGAACUAGAGUGUGGUAGGGGCAAAAGGAAUUCCUGGUGUAGCGGUGAAAUGCGUAGAUAUCAGGAAGAACACCGGUGGCGAAAGCGUUUUGCUAGACCAUAACUGACACUGAGGGACGAAAGCUAGGGGAGCGAAUGGGAUUAGAUACCCCAGUAGUCCUAGCCGUAAACGAUGGAUACUAGGCGUGGCUUGUAUCGACCCGAGCCGUGCCGGAGCUAACGCGUUAAGUAUCCCGCCUGGGGAGUACGCACGCAGGUGUGAAACUCAAAGGAAUUGACGGGGGCCCGCACAAGCGGUGGAGUAUGUGGUUUAAUUCGAUGCAACGCGAAGAACCUUACCAAGACUUGACAUCCUGCGAAUCCUGGUGAAAGC